CCAAUUCGGGCCCUCAUCCGAGGACUCGUCGGGGUGACCCGAAAUGACCCGGAGAAGCCGUAGGGAGGUCCGGGGAGAGUUGUCUCUUCUCUAUAAGCGUUCGAGUUCCCUGGAAGCCUCUAGGAGGGAGAUAGGGUUUGGAACGCGAAGAGCACCGCACUUACGGCGGUGUCCGGAUCUUCCCCUCGGACCUUGAAAAUCCGGGCGAGGGCCACGAGGAACACCGCGCCGGCUCGUACCCAUAUCCGCAGCAGGUCUCCAAGGUGAAUAGCCUCUAGUCGAUAGAAUAAUGUAGGUAAGGGAAGUCGGCAAACCCGAUCUGUAACUUCGGGAUAAGGAUUGGCUCUGAGGAUCGUGGCGCGCCGGGCUUGGUCGGGAAGUGGAGCGGUGCCAACGUGCCGGGCCUGGGCGAGGUGAAGGGCGCUUGUCGUC
RNAcentral lists this ribosomal RNA (432 nucleotides) under Phthia lunata. RNAcentral's name for it is "partial large subunit ribosomal RNA". It matches the Rfam family "Eukaryotic large subunit ribosomal RNA", at positions 1620 to 2046 of the family's 3401-position model. The record is from RNAcentral. Lineage: Eukaryota; Metazoa; Arthropoda; Insecta; Hemiptera; Coreidae.